This 484-nucleotide ribosomal RNA is filed under the name uncultured bacterium. RNAcentral's name for it is "partial 16S ribosomal RNA". It matches the Rfam family "Bacterial small subunit ribosomal RNA", at positions 30 to 507 of the family's 1533-position model. The record is from RNAcentral.
AUUGAACGCUGGCGGCAGGCCUAACACAUGCAAGUCGAGCGGAUGAAGGGAGCUUGCUCCUGGCUUCAGCGGCGGACGGGUGGGUAAUGCCUAGGAAUCUGCCUGGUAGUGGGGGAUAACGUCCGGAAACGGGCGCUAAUACCGCAUACGUCCUGAGGGAGAAAGUGGGGGAUCUUCGGACCUCACGCUAUCAGCUGAGCCUAAGUCGGAUUAGCUAGUUGGUGGGGUAAAGGCCUACCAAGGCGACGAUCCGUAACUGGUCUGAGAGGAUGAUCAGUCACACUGGAACUGAGACACGGUCCAGACUCCUACGGGAGGCAGCAGUGGGGAAUAUUGGACAAUGGGCGAAAGCCUGAUCCAGCCAUGCCGCGUGUGUGAAGAAGGUCUUCGGAUUGUAAAGCACUUUAAGUUGGGAGGAAGGGCAGUAAGUUAAUACCUUGCUGUUUUGACGGUACCAACAGAAUAAGCACCGGCUAACUUCGUG